AUUGGCGGACGGGUGAGUAAUGUAUCGGAACGUGCCUAGUAGCGGGGGAUAACUACGCGAAAGCGUAGCUAAUACCGCAUACGCCCUACGGGGGAAAGCAGAGGAUCGCAAGACCUUGCACUAUUAGAGCGGCCGAUAUCGGAUUAGCUAGUUGGUGGGGUAACGGCUCACCAAGGCGACGAUCCGUAGCUGGUUUGAGAGGACGACCAGCCACACUGGGACUGAGACACGGCCCAGACUCCUACGGGAGGCAGCAGUGGGGAAUUUUGGACAAUGGGGGAAACCCUGAUCCAGCCAUCCCGCGUGUGCGAUGAAGGCCUUCGGGUUGUAAAGCACUUUUGGCAGGAAAGAAACGUCAUGGGCUAAUACCCCGUGAAACUGACGGUACCUGCAGAAUAAGCACCGGCUAACUACGUGCCAGCAGCCGCGGUAAUAAU
This 437-nucleotide ribosomal RNA is filed under the name uncultured bacterium. Its description in RNAcentral is "bacterial SSU rRNA". It matches the Rfam family "Bacterial small subunit ribosomal RNA", at positions 94 to 526 of the family's 1533-position model. The record is from RNAcentral.